ACGGAGGGUGCAAGCGUUAUUCGGAAUUACUGGGCGUAAAGGGUGUGUAGGCGGGAGAGCAAGCCUGACGUGAAAGCCCGGGGCUCAACCCCGGAAGGGCAUUUGAAACUGCUUUACUUGAGUUCUGGAGAGGAAGGGAGAAUUCCCGGUGUAGGGGUGAAAUUCGUAGAGAUCGGGAGGAACACCGGUGGCGAAGGCGGCCUUCUGGACAGCAACUGACGCUGAGGCACGAAAGCGUGGGGAGCAAACAG
This 251-nucleotide ribosomal RNA is filed under the name uncultured prokaryote. Its description in RNAcentral is "partial 16S rRNA". It matches the Rfam family "Bacterial small subunit ribosomal RNA", at positions 525 to 775 of the family's 1533-position model. The record is from RNAcentral.